CCGCACCCGCAUCCUCGGG
Molecule: microRNA, 19 nt
Filed under: Pteropus alecto (black flying fox)
Lineage: Eukaryota; Metazoa; Chordata; Mammalia; Chiroptera; Pteropodidae
Description: pal-miR-282-3p
Gene: pal-miR-282-3p
Source: miRBase by way of RNAcentral